CAUACGGCCAUCCAAGUAUCUCUCCCUGCAGUCGUCCCGUCGUUCCCGACAACUUAAAUAAUGGUGGCAGAGGGAGCAUGCCCAGGUGGACACACCUCACCACUGCCUGCAUCAUAACCUGAGCUAGAAUUGAAUACCUAUUCCCUGUUGACUGGCUAAGAAACCUACCUUCCUAAGCUUGUCUUUCUGGGUGGUAGGGAGAGCAUUUUUAUUACUUAUACUGUAUGGUGAUUAGGGAGACUACUUUAAAGGCAACUUUCUGGAAAUCCGGUGAGGAAUGGGUGUGAUUUUUUUUUUUUUUUUUUUUUUUGGUAUUUCAAUAGACUAUGGUUCCUGAGAGUAUAUAUUCUGCAUUUGUAUAGCACCUGCAGUCUGUGCCCAUCUGAGUGUUGUCAAUCCUGUGCAAGAGGCACAUUAGGCUUUUCUUUGUACAAAUGAGCAAAGUGGCCCAGAGGAUUAAGUGACUUUUCUUAGGUCGUAUGGGACAGUGGGUGGUAGAGCCAGAUUUAAAUUGGAACUAUUGCCUUGUUUCCUAGCAUAAGCUAUGUCAUAAUGAUGACAGGUCUUUAAAAAACGAUGUUUUCGCCUUGUAACAAAUGAACUAAAGGAGAAAUGGGGAGAAGCUGAGGCUGCCAAGGUGCUGCUGCACGAGCUCACUGAUUCCCCUGCUGGAAGGAGCCUGAGGGAGGGGUUAAGUCACACCUGAACACUGUUCCUGGUGUAGGAAUAACAUGGCCUGUUGCUUUAAAUUGGUAUGAUUUCUCCGGAUGAAGGAAACCAGGCAAGUGAGUCAACCUGUGUUGGCUUUCAUGCCCUCUAAGGAUGUUGUCCCCCCAGGGAGGGUAGGAAACUACAGGAGAGAAGGUCACAGAAAGAUAAGGAAAGAGAGAAAGAGAUCCUUCCAAAGCCGGGGCAAUCUGGAAGUCUAACAAAUCACAACAGCCUGUUGAAGCUGUUGCAAAUGUGACUGCAGAAUCCCUGCCUGUAAUCCCGACAUCAGCAAAUGUUCCCGUGUUCGAAAAGGAUGGAUCCUGUAUUGUCCCCAGCUCAGGACAUACUUGAAAAAGUGUGCAGAGGUGUGCAGAGCUCGGGACUCAGUCGUGUCUGAGGAUACAAACGAGGGCCGGUACACAGCCCAGGCCCGCCUGCUUUCAUGUCGGGGCCUCACCUCAUUUCAGGUUCAGAGGAAGUUCACACACGCAGCCCCCUUCGGAGAGAACCUCCAUACGGGCAUUGCCCUGUGUGGCAGGAGAGAACCUCGGGGCAGCUGGGGCACCUUUCCUGUGAUACCGUGACCACUCUUCCAAGGAGCAGAAUUCAGUGAUUCAUCACUUACAUACAGCACCCAGUGCUCAUCCCAGAGCAAGGAGAGGGAAGACUGGAAUGGGAAUGGCAGACGAGGCUUCCCAGAGGAGGAGGGAAACAGGAGGAGGUAAGGAGGGUCUGCUUCAAGCGAGGAGUGGCGUGCAGUGGCUUUGGAGGAAUGGCUGUGUGGGAGACCCACUGGGAAGCUCAGUGGUGGAGAAUCGACUUCAGGAUGUGGGGUCAGAGUCUGACAAGCUGAGAGAUUCUUUCUGUAAUUUUGGUAAGAAAAUAAAUUUGGUAACAGCAAUAUGGCAGUAUAUAUGUAUGCAUGUAUCUAGAACUUCAAACAGCCUUCCUCUUCCCCUUUCCUUCCCUCUUAGUCCUAAACUGUGGCAGGACUCAGCCCAGCUCCACAUGGGUGGGGGAAGCAGGGACUGCAUGCCUGGAACAGGGCAAGAAAGGAACGCAUGAAGGGGGGCGGGCAGGACGUGAGACCGGUCAUUGCCAGUGCAAGCAGGGUGAUGGGAGGUCAGUACCUGGAAAGCCCAAGCUGGGUAAGAGGGGAUGGAGGGGCGUGAAGCCCACAUCAGCAGAGGGUGGCAAUGUGUGGGAACGGGGAUGGUGACAGUGGCUUGGCAUGGGCUGUCAAGCCUGUGUGUAGAGGGGGCCCGGAAGCUCUCUUUGCUCACGUGUACCCUUGUGUGUUAUUACUGCACACACAUGCAGUAACCCCCAGUUCUGUCCUGGGAGGCCUGAUAGUGGCACCCCAGGGCAGUAAGCACACCUACAGCCCAGAUCUUGGCUUUUAAACACCAUUCUCCACAGAAGAAAUCAGAAUGCCUUGGGGGCUGGGGGUGGGGAGAGGUUGGCUUCAGGUCUGAGGCAGGAAAAAUAGGAGAUGCAAUGAAACAUCUAGUUGAACCAGAAAGCAAGAAUAUGCUUCAAGAAUAAUGAGGGAAUGUAAAAAAGACACAGAAGCCAGUUUGAAGAGACUCUCACUAGCCAAAUCUGAGGCAUUCUGACACCAAAAUAAUGACAGUAAAGACUUACAAUGAAUUGAAUAAAAUAGGCGUCCGUACUAAUAUAAACAAACAGAUUACUUGGAAAUUUGAUGGGGAAUGCAGUGUUCCAUAGUCUCAAAGUACCUCCUUACAAAAUACUUAAUAAUUACAAAGGACGAAAGAAAGCUUCACAGUGGGGAAGCCCUGAAGAUGCCACUGGGGUGAAGUGGUCAGAGGGAAUGGACAUCAUCUGUGGUAGACAGACAAGUGGGGUGCUGCGUGCUGGAAUGUUCCAUGAGCACAGCAUUGCUUCUGUGAUUACUCCUGCCAAAGGGCCGUUGCCUGAAACUAGCUGUGAGGUUUUUUCAGACAAAACCAAAUUACAAAAUAACUGGCUUGUAGCCUGCAGAGGUGUCAAGGUCAUGAAAAUCAAGGAAGGACUGAGAACCGUGUCACUGAGGGAGAGUGAAGACAACUGACUGGAUUCUGAACUUGCGCUUUUAAAAAAAUGUUUUAGCGUUUAUUUAUUUUUGAGGUGGGGAGGGGCAGAGAGAGAGGGAGACACAGAAUCCGAAGCAGGCUCCAGGCUCCGAGCUGUCAGCACAGAGACCUAUGU
Acinonyx jubatus (cheetah) is the source of this 2922-nucleotide long non-coding RNA. RefSeq lists it as uncharacterized. The transcript is spliced from 3 exons. NCBI's taxonomy places the organism in Eukaryota, Metazoa, Chordata, Mammalia, Carnivora, Felidae. The record is from RefSeq and is a predicted model, not a curated record.